RNAcentral lists this ribosomal RNA (332 nucleotides) under uncultured bacterium. RNAcentral's name for it is "bacterial SSU rRNA". It matches the Rfam family "Bacterial small subunit ribosomal RNA", at positions 568 to 898 of the family's 1533-position model. The record is from RNAcentral.
CACGCAGGCGGUCGUGUAAGUUUGGGGUUACAGCUCCCGGCUCAACUGGGAGAGCGCCUUGAAGACUGCAGGACUUGAGGGCCAGAGAGGGACACAGAAUUCCGGGUGUAGUGGUGAAAUGCGUAGAUAUCCGGAGGAAUACCAAAGGCGAAGGCAGUGUCCUGGCUGGUGACUGACGCUGAGGUGCGAAAGCUAGGGGAGCGAACGGGAUUAGAUACCCCGGUAGUCCUAGCUGUAAACGAUGACCACUAGGUGUGGGAGGUAUCGACCCCUUCCGUGCCGCAGUUAACACAGUAAGUGGUCCGCCUGGGGAGUACGGUCGCAAGAUUAAA